GAAGGGGGCUAGCGUUGUUCGGAAUUACUGGGCGUAAAGGGCGCGUAGGCGGCUCUGUGCGUCGGGCGUGAAAGGCCUGGGCUCAACCCAGGAAUGGCGCUCGAUACGGCGGAGCUCGAGUGUGGGAGAGGAUGGUGGAAUUCCCAGUGUAGAGGUGAAAUUCGUAGAUAUUGGGAAGAACACCGGUGGCGAAGGCGGCCAUCUGGACCACAACUGACGCUGAGGCGCGAAAGCGUGGGGAGCAAACAGGAUUAGAUACCCUGGUAGUCCACGCCGUAAACGAUGUGCGCUAGACGUUGGGGGACCUAGUCUCCCGGUGUCGCCGCUAACGCAUUAAGCGCACCGCCUGGGGAGUACGGCCGCAAAGUUA
Molecule: ribosomal RNA, 370 nt
Filed under: uncultured bacterium
Lineage: Bacteria
Description: bacterial SSU rRNA
Rfam family: Bacterial small subunit ribosomal RNA
Source: RNAcentral